GAUGAACGCUGGCGGCGUGCCUAAUACAUGCAAGUCGAGCGAACAGACGAGGAGCUUGCUCCUCUGACGUUAGCGGCGGACGGGUGAGUAACACGUGGAUAACCUACCUAUAAGACUGGGAUAACUUCGGGAAACCGGAGCUAAUACCGGAUAAUAUAUUGAACCGCAUGGUUCAAUAGUGAAAGACGGUUUUGCUGUCACUUAUAGAUGGAUCCGCGCCGCAUUAGCUAGUUGGUAAGGUAACGGCUUACCAAGGCAACGAUGCGUAGCCGACCUGAGAGGGUGAUCGGCCACACUAGAACUGAGACACGGUCCAGGCUCCUACGGGAGGCAGCAGUAGGGAAUCUUCCGCAAUGGGCGAAAGCCUGACGGAGCAACGCCGCGUGAGUGAUGAAGGUCUUCGGAUCGUAAAACUCUGUUAUUAGGGAAGAACAAAUGUGUAAGUAACUAUGCACGUCUUGACGGUACCUAAUCAGAAAGCCACGGCUAACUACGUG
Molecule: ribosomal RNA, 497 nt
Filed under: uncultured bacterium
Lineage: Bacteria
Description: partial 16S ribosomal RNA
Rfam family: Bacterial small subunit ribosomal RNA
Source: RNAcentral